AUUAUAAUGAGGUGUUUUUACAAGAUAAUGAAAGAUUAGGGACAAUCCCUAAUUCUACUAGUGCGAAAAGGAAAACAAAAGUAGCAUAAUAUAUCCAGAACAAGGUCAAUUGCAGUUGUUAAUUUGUUUUAGUAUCCCAUCCUAAUCUUCUAUUCACAUGCCAAUUUGGUGUCAAAGCUACUCAAGCAUAUAGCAAAAGCUUGAACCGCAGAUAGGGGAUACCUGUAAUCCAUAGUAAACAUAUCUUUCCCUAUCUUGCCAAAUUGCAGGAUGACUUUGUCAUGAUCUGAUUGACUUGACCGAGAGGUCGUCGGUCCCCCAGCAGGUGGUUGGUGGGCCGCUAUCAACUGAAAAUUCUUUACAGAUGCAACUGUCACCCGUCCUCUAAAAUUCAGGCACCAACACUGCAAUUGUUCAUGCCAACGCGGUGACUUGUUCUUUAGAACCAAGGGUUUCACCUUACUAUCAUCUUCUGCACUGGAUGAUGCUCUAACAAUAUCAGAAAACCGUGAGCUACUGAACUCAGCAGAAUGAUCCAACGACUUUGAGAAAGAGAUACUACGGAAUGAAUCCUCAAGGGACCUUGGGAGAAGUUCCGGUUGGCCAGGCACUGACCCACCCACAUCAACUGCUGAGGCAGGAAUCGAGUGCAUUACGCAGUGCAUUUUCCGUGGACCCCGUGUUCCAAGAACAUUUAGCUCGUAUUUGAUUUGGGCUAUGCUGUAGCUUCCAGUUGGAACUUUCGGAGAGACUUUCUUGGAAUAGAAUCUGCGGCUUGUGCGGCCUGGAGGCGGAACGUUUGCAAAGGUGUAUGGAGGCUGUGUGUCAUAUAUAACGAAUUUUGUACCCAGAAAAUUUGACCUUAAUUUUCCAAUGUAAGUGUUGCUUGAUCUUGAGAUGUUUUCUGCAUCCAUUGAG
This 918-nucleotide unclassified non-coding RNA is filed under the name Hevea brasiliensis (rubber tree). The record is from RNAcentral. Lineage: Eukaryota; Viridiplantae; Streptophyta; Magnoliopsida; Malpighiales; Euphorbiaceae.